RNAcentral lists this ribosomal RNA (253 nucleotides) under uncultured bacterium. RNAcentral's name for it is "partial 16S ribosomal RNA". It matches the Rfam family "Bacterial small subunit ribosomal RNA", at positions 524 to 776 of the family's 1533-position model. The record is from RNAcentral.
UACGUAGGGGGCAAGCGUUGUCCGGAAUCAUUGGGCGUAAAGAGCGUGUAGGCGGCUCGAUAAGUCUGCUGUGAAAGUCCAGGGCUCAACCCUGGAAGGCCGGUGGAAACUGUCGGGCUAGAGUCCGGAAGAGGCGAGUGGAAUUCCCGGUGUAGCGGUGAAAUGCGCAGAUAUCGGGAGGAACACCAAUGGCGAAGGCAGCUCGCUGGGACGGUACUGACGCUGAGACGCGAAAGCGUGGGGAGCAAACAGU